UUAAGCGACUAAGCGUACACGGUGGAUGCCCUGGCAGUCAGAGGCGAUGAAGGACGUGCUAAUCUGCGAUAAGCGUCGGUAAGGUGAUAUGAACCGUUAUAACCGGCGAUUUCCGAAUGGGGAAACCCAGUGUGUUUCGACACACUAUCAUUAACUGAAUCCAUAGGUUAAUGAGGCGAACCGGGGGAACUGAAACAUCUAAGUACCCCGAGGAAAAGAAAUCAACCGAGAUUCCCCCAGUAGCGGCGAGCGAACGGGGAGCAGCCCAGAGCCUGAAUCAGUGUGUGUGUUAGUGGAAGCGUCUGGAAAGGCGCGCGAUACAGGGUGACAGCCCCGUACACAAAAAUGCACAUGCUGUGAGCUCGAUGAGUAGGGCGGGACACGUGGUAUCCUGUCUGAAUAUGGGGGGACCAUCCUCCAAGGCUAAAUACUCCUGACUGACCGAUAGUGAACCAGUACCGUGAGGGAAAGGCGAAAAGAACCCCGGCGAGGGGAGUGAAAAAGAACCUGAAACCGUGUACGUACAAGCAGUGGGAGCACGCUUAGGCGUGUGACUGCGUACCUUUUGUAUAAUGGGUCAGCGACUUAUAUUCUGUAGCAAGGUUAACCGAAUAGGGGAGCCGAAGGGAAACCGAGUCUUAACUGGGCGUUAAGUUGCAGGGUAUAGACCCGAAACCCGGUGAUCUAGCCAUGGGCAGGUUGAAGGUUGGGUAACACUAACUGGAGGACCGAACCGACUAAUGUUGAAAAAUUAGCGGAUGACUUGUGGCUGGGGGUGAAAGGCCAAUCAAACCGGGAGAUAGCUGGUUCUCCCCGAAAGCUAUUUAGGUAGCGCCUCGUGAAUUCAUCUCCGGGGGUAGAGCACUGUUUCGGCAAGGGGGUCAUCCCGACUUACCAACCCGAUGCAAACUGCGAAUACCGGAGAAUGUUAUCACGGGAGACACACGGCGGGUGCUAACGUCCGUCGUGAAGAGGGAAACAACCCAGACCGCCAGCUAAGGUCCCAAAGUCAUGGUUAAGUGGGAAACGAUGUGGGAAGGCCCAGACAGCCAGGAUGUUGGCUUAGAAGCAGCCAUCAUUUAAAGAAAGCGUAAUAGCUCACUGGUCGAGUCGGCCUGCGCGGAAGAUGUAACGGGGCUAAACCAUGCACCGAAGCUGCGGCAGCGACGCUGAUGCGUUGUUGGGUAGGGGAGCGUUCUGUAAGCCUGCGAAGGUGUGCUGUGAGGCAUGCUGGAGGUAUCAGAAGUGCGAAUGCUGACAUAAGUAACGAUAAAGCGGGUGAAAAGCCCGCUCGCCGGAAGACCAAGGGUUCCUGUCCAACGUUAAUCGGGGCAGGGUGAGUCGACCCCUAAGGCGAGGCCGAAAGGCGUAGUCGAUGGGAAACAGGUUAAUAUUCCUGUACUUGGUGUUACUGCGAAGGGGGGACGGAGAAGGCUAUGUUGGCCGGGCGACGGUUGUCCCGGUUUAAGCGUGUAGGCUGGUUUUCCAGGCAAAUCCGGAAAAUCAAGGCUGAGGCGUGAUGACGAGGCACUACGGUGCUGAAGCAACAAAUGCCCUGCUUCCAGGAAAAGCCUCUAAGCAUCAGGUAACAUCAAAUCGUACCCCAAACCGACACAGGUGGUCAGGUAGAGAAUACCAAGGCGCUUGAGAGAACUCGGGUGAAGGAACUAGGCAAAAUGGUGCCGUAACUUCGGGAGAAGGCACGCUGAUAUGUAGGUGAAGCGACUUGCUCGUGGAGCUGAAAUCAGUCGAAGAUACCAGCUGGCUGCAACUGUUUAUUAAAAACACAGCACUGUGCAAACACGAAAGUGGACGUAUACGGUGUGACGCCUGCCCGGUGCCGGAAGGUUAAUUGAUGGGGUCAGCGCAAGCGAAGCUCUUGAUCGAAGCCCCGGUAAACGGCGGCCGUAACUAUAACGGUCCUAAGGUAGCGAAAUUCCUUGUCGGGUAAGUUCCGACCUGCACGAAUGGCGUAAUGAUGGCCAGGCUGUCUCCACCCGAGACUCAGUGAAAUUGAACUCGCUGUGAAGAUGCAGUGUACCCGCGGCAAGACGGAAAGACCCCGUGAACCUUUACUAUAGCUUGACACUGAACAUUGAGCCUUGAUGUGUAGGAUAGGUGGGAGGCUUUGAAGUGUGGACGCCAGUCUGCAUGGAGCCGACCUUGAAAUACCACCCUUUAAUGUUUGAUGUUCUAACGUGGACCCGUGAUCCGGGUUGCGGACAGUGUCUGGUGGGUAGUUUGACUGGGGCGGUCUCCUCCUAAAGAGUAACGGAGGAGCACGAAGGUUGGCUAAUCCUGGUCGGACAUCAGGAGGUUAGUGCAAUGGCAUAAGCCAGCUUGACUGCGAGCGUGACGGCGCGAGCAGGUGCGAAAGCAGGUCAUAGUGAUCCGGUGGUUCUGAAUGGAAGGGCCAUCGCUCAACGGAUAAAAGGUACUCCGGGGAUAACAGGCUGAUACCGCCCAAGAGUUCAUAUCGACGGCGGUGUUUGGCACCUCGAUGUCGGCUCAUCACAUCCUGGGGCUGAAGUAGGUCCCAAGGGUAUGGCUGUUCGCCAUUUAAAGUGGUACGCGAGCUGGGUUUAGAACGUCGUGAGACAGUUCGGUCCCUAUCUGCCGUGGGCGCUGGAGAACUGAGGGGGGCUGCUCCUAGUACGAGAGGACCGGAGUGGACGCAUCACUGGUGUUCGGGUUGUCAUGCCAAUGGCACUGCCCGGUAGCUAAAUGCGGAAGAGAUAAGUGCUGAAAGCAUCUAAGCACGAAACUUGCCCCGAGAUGAGUUCUCCCUGACCCUUUAAGGGUCCUGAAGGAACGUUGAAGACGACGACGUUGAUAGGCCGGGUGUGUAAGCGCAGCGAUGCGUUGAGCUAACCGGUACUAAUGAACCGUGAGGCUUAACCU
This 2901-nucleotide ribosomal RNA is filed under the name Escherichia coli. RNAcentral describes it as "23S ribosomal RNA". It matches the Rfam family "Bacterial large subunit ribosomal RNA". The record is from RNAcentral. Lineage: Bacteria; Pseudomonadati; Pseudomonadota; Gammaproteobacteria; Enterobacterales; Enterobacteriaceae.